UCAAAUGGGCCACACACGUCACUGUGAA
RNAcentral lists this small RNA (28 nucleotides) under Bombyx mori (domestic silkworm). RNAcentral's name for it is "ovarian small RNA-24503". The record is from RNAcentral. Lineage: Eukaryota; Metazoa; Arthropoda; Insecta; Lepidoptera; Bombycidae.